Molecule: transfer RNA, 82 nt
Filed under: Nitriliruptorales bacterium
Lineage: Bacteria; Bacillati; Actinomycetota; Nitriliruptoria; Nitriliruptorales
Description: tRNA-Tyr
Rfam family: tRNA
About the family: Transfer RNA (tRNA) molecules are approximately 80 nucleotides in length. Their secondary structure includes four short double-helical elements and three loops (D, anti-codon, and T loops).
Source: RNAcentral
GGUGGGAUGCCCGAGUGGCCAAAGGGAGCACGCUGUAAACGUGCCGGCUCAGCCUACGAAGGUUCGAAUCCUUCUCCCACCA